Molecule: unclassified non-coding RNA, 174 nt
Filed under: Drosophila erecta
Lineage: Eukaryota; Metazoa; Arthropoda; Insecta; Diptera; Drosophilidae
Description: GG21836
Source: RNAcentral
GGUUGGGAAACACCACUACUCAAGGUCCAUGGUGGGGAAACACCACUACUCAAGGUCCAUGGUGGGGAAAUAACUCUACUCAAGGUCCAUGGUGGGGAAACAACUCAACCGAAGGUCCAUGGUGGGGAAACAACUCAACCGAAGGUCCAUGGUGGGGAAACAACUCAACCGAAG